Molecule: ribosomal RNA, 378 nt
Filed under: uncultured bacterium
Lineage: Bacteria
Description: bacterial SSU rRNA
Rfam family: Bacterial small subunit ribosomal RNA
Source: RNAcentral
UAAUACGUAGGGUGCAAGCGUUGUCCGGAAUUACUGGGCGUAAAGAGCUCGUAGGCGGUUUGUCGCGUCGUCUGUGAAAACCAGCAGCUCAACUGUUGGCUUGCAGGCGAUACGGGCAGACUUGAGUAUUUCAGGGGAGACUGGAAUUCCUGGUGUAGCGGUGAAAUGCGCAGAUAUCAGGAGGAACACCGGUGGCGAAGGCGGGUCUCUGGGAAAUAACUGACGCUGAGGAGCGAAAGCGUGGGUAGCGAACAGGAUUAGAUACCCUGGUAGUCCACGCCGUAAACGGUGGGCGCUAGGUGUGGGUUUCCUUCCACGGGAUCCGUGCCGUAGCUAACGCAUUAAGCGCCCCGCCUGGGGAGUACGGCCGCAAGGCUA